CUUCGUAGGCUAAUGCAUUGGCCCUUUUCGACCCGUUUUGGGGCGAAAACAAAAACUGACUCCCGGGCAUAUUUUUUUCGGCCUUUAUGGGCAAAGAACUUUAAUGGCGCUCAGAAUGAGGCCACCCAGUAGUUAGGUGUGAAUUUUCGAGACCUCUGGCACCGUUCUAAGAUGGGUCCUCUCUUCGUAGGCUAAUGCAUUGGCCCUUUUCGACCCGUUUUGGGGCGAAAACAAAAACUGACUCCGGGCAUAUUUUUUUCGGCCUUUAUGGGCAAAGAACUUUAAUGCCGCUCAGAAUGAGGCCACCAGUAGUUAGGUGUGAAUUUUCGAGACCUCUGGCACCGUUCUAAGAUGGGUCCUCUCUUUGUAGGCUAAUGCAUUGGCUCCUUUCGACCCGUUUUGGGGCGAAAACAAAACCUGACUCCCGGGCAUAUUUUUUUCGGC
Molecule: long non-coding RNA, 444 nt
Filed under: Cucumis sativus (cucumber)
Lineage: Eukaryota; Viridiplantae; Streptophyta; Magnoliopsida; Cucurbitales; Cucurbitaceae
Description: long non-coding RNA (CSAT_LNC000466)
Source: RNAcentral